CCGACGGUGAGAGGCGAAAGCUGGGGGAGCAAACCGGAUUAGAUACCCGGGUAGUCCCAGCUGUAAACGAUGUGCGUUAGGUGUAUCGGUGACCACGAGUCACCGAGGUGCCGAAGAGAAAUCGUGAAACGUACCGCCUGGGAAGUACGGUCGCAAGGCUGAAACUUAAAGGAAUUGGCGGGGGAGCACCACAACAUGUGGAGCCUGCGGUUUAAUCGGACUCAACGCCGGAAAACUCACCAGAUAA
RNAcentral lists this ribosomal RNA (247 nucleotides) under uncultured archaeon. Its description in RNAcentral is "partial 16S ribosomal RNA". It matches the Rfam family "Archaeal small subunit ribosomal RNA", at positions 691 to 937 of the family's 1478-position model. The record is from RNAcentral.